Long non-coding RNA from Mytilus californianus (California mussel), 1359 nucleotides. RefSeq lists it as uncharacterized. The transcript is spliced from 3 exons. The record is from RefSeq and is a predicted model, not a curated record. Lineage: Eukaryota; Metazoa; Mollusca; Bivalvia; Mytilida; Mytilidae.
AUAUAUAUAAACAAGUCUAAAUUGAAAACAACGUUCAAACCUAUGGUUGCGUUGGAUAAAAACCGCAAUUUUUAUACGUGUGCAUGCAAAACAAAUUUCUUGUCAGAGGGAUCUAAAUACAGCACAAACAACAUUUUCCAAAAGACCAAAAAAGUGAAAAAGUAUAUUUUAACAAAACGCAUUUGACUAACAGGUCGAACAACAAAUGUUCUUAAACCCUGCUGACUGCCAUUGGCGAUUGCCAAAUAAACGGAUCACAAGGUGUAAUAAAUGGAUCUUAACUAUAAAUUUAAUACCAAACAGAAAACAAUAAACUUGCGGCAAAGAUGGUAUACCGCAAACAAAGGUGCAAAGAUUUUUUGUACACCAUAUCCGGAUUUCGACAAUUAAUGUCUCUUCAGUGAUGUUAGGAAUCGAAACGGUAUUUGGAAGGCCAUAUAAUUUACCUCAAUUUAGGAUAGACUCUUGAAUUUUGAGGAGUCAAAAUAGGAUGAACGGAUCAUAUAAACCCGAAGGCAAAUAUAAUACAAGCCCAAACGAAAAAAUAUAAACAAGUCUAAAUUGAAAACAACGUUCAAACCUAUGAUUGCGUUGGAUAAAAACCGCAAUUUUUAUACGCGUGCAUGCAAAACAAAUUUCUUGUCAGAGGGAUCUAAAUACAGCACAAACAACAUUUUCCAAAAGACCAAAAAAGUGAAAAAGUAUAUUUUAACAAAACGCAUUUGACUAACAGGUCGAACAACAAAUGUUCUUAAACCCUGCUGACUGCCAUUGGCGAUUGCCAAAUAAACGGAUCACAAGGUGUAAUAAAUGGAUCUUAACUAUAAAUUUAAUACCAAACAGAAAACAAUAAACUUGCGGCAAAGAUGGUAUACCGCAAACAAAGGUGCAAAGAUUUUUUGUACACCAUAUCCGGAUUUCGACAAUUAAUGUCUCUUCAGUGAUGUUAGGAAUCGAAACGGUAUUUGGAAGGCCAUAUAAUUUACCUCAAUUUAGGAUAGACUCUUGAAUUUUGAGGAGUCAAAAUAGGAUGAACGGAUCAUAUAAACCCGAAGGCAAAUAUAAUACAAGCCCAAACGAAAAAAUAUAAACAAGUCUAAAUUGAAAACAACGUUCAAACCUAUGAUUGCGUUGGAUAAAAACCGCAAUUUUUAUACGCGUGCAUGCAAAACAAAUUUCUUGUCAGAGGGAUCUAAAUACAGCACAAACAACAUUUUCCAAAAGACCAAAAAAGUGAAAAAGUAUAUUUUAACAAAACGCAUUUGACUAACAGGUCGAACAACAAAUGUUCUUAAACCCUGCUGACUGCCAUUGGCGAUUGCCAAAUAAACGGAUCACCGAUGUAAUAAAUGGAUCUUA